RNAcentral lists this unclassified non-coding RNA (223 nucleotides) under plant metagenome. RNAcentral's name for it is "partial contains small subunit ribosomal RNA, internal transcribed spacer 1, and 5.8S ribosomal RNA". The record is from RNAcentral.
UCUCCGUAGGUGAACCUGCGGAGGGAUCAUUACAGAGAACAUCGCCCGCAAGUGUGACUCUCCAACCCUCUGUUAAAUUCUACCUUUGUUGCUUGGGCGGGCCCCUUCGGCCACUGCCACCGCGCGGCUGGGCGCCCGACAGAGGAUCUCAAACUCUGUAUAUACAUGUCGUCUGAAAACUAUACAAUAGUUAAAACUUUCAACAACGGAUCUCUUGGUUCUG